RNAcentral lists this ribosomal RNA (1583 nucleotides) under human oral metagenome. RNAcentral describes it as "bacterial LSU rRNA". It matches the Rfam family "Bacterial large subunit ribosomal RNA", at positions 593 to 2083 of the family's 2925-position model. The record is from RNAcentral.
GUGACGGCGUGCUUUUUGUAGAACGAUCCAGCGAGUUAAUUUCAUGCGCCAGGUUAAGUCAAGUGACGGAGCCACAGUGAAAGCGAGCCUGAAUAGGGCGAUAAGUGUAUGGGAUUAGACCCGAAACCGGGUGACCUAACCAUGAGCAGGUUGAAGCUGCGGUAACACGCAGUGAAGGACCGAACCAGUUUGCGCAGUAAAGCAUUUGGAUGACUUGUGGUUAGCGGUGAAAUGCCAAUCGAACUCGGAGAUAGCUGGUUCUCCUCAAAAUAGCUUUAGGGCUAGCGUCAUGUAAAAUAGCCAACGGGGGUAGAGCUCUGUAAACGACUGGGGCGGGCAACUGUACCCACCGUUAACAAACUACGAAUACCGUUGGUGGUACCAUGGCAGUUAGAACAUCGGGGCUAAGCUCGGUGCUCAAAAGGGAAACAGCCCAGACCAUCAUCUAAGGUCCCUAAAUUAACACUAAGUGGGAAACAAGGUGAAAUUUCUUAAACAGCGAGGAUGUUGGCUUAGAAGCAGCCAUUCAUUUAAAGAGUGCGUAACAGCUCACUCGUCAAGAGAUUUUGCGUGGAAAAUGUAACGGGGCUAAAGUGUUAUACCGAAGAUAUGGAUUUCGUUAUUCCUACGGGUUUAACGGAGUGGUAGAGGAGCGUUCCUAUCGGCAGUGAAGCUCAAUCGUAAGGUUGGGUGGAGCGUUAGGAAGUGAGAAUGCUGGAAUGAGUAACCAUAAGAAAGGUGAGAAUCCUUUCGGCCGUAAGAGCGAGGUUUCCAGGGCUACUGUAAUAAUCCCUGGGUUAGUCGGGCCUAAGCCGAGGCGUAGCAGCGUAGGCGAUGGACAUCAGGUUAAUAUUCCUGAACCGGUUAUAAUUUGUAUACUGUGUACGGUAAAUUAGUCGAAGCGGAUUAUUGGUAUAUAUCCGUCCAACUUAGCGGGAACGCAAAAGGAGUGAAAGUUAAUCUACGGAUUAACGAUUUUGAUGAAAGUACUGGCUAGAAAAGCAGAUAUACGCGUGGUUAUAGCCGCCCGUACCGCAAACCAACACAGGUGCUCGAGUCGAGUAGACUCAGGCUUACGAGAGACCCUUCGCUAAGGAACUCGGCAAAACAGCGACCGUAACUUCGGGAUAAGGUCUGCCUCCGCAUCAUUCGAUGCGAGUCGUGUUUCAAGCAAUUAGGUUAAGAUUAAUGGUAUAUAUGAGUAUCUUAAACUUCUUUACCGAGAUAGAACAAGUCAAAUGGCUUAGCUUGGAACGUGGCAAACUCGUAUCAAACGAUGCGGAGGCCGCAGCAAAAGAGCCCACGGAACUGUUUACCAAAAACACAGGUCUCUGCGAACACGAAAGUGGAUGUAUAGGGGCUGACUCCUGCCCAGUGCUGGAAGGUUAAGGGGAGUGCUUUACGGUGCGAACUGAAGCCCCAGUGAACGGCGGCGGUAACUAUAACCGUCCUAAGGUAGCGAAAUUCCUUGUCAGGUAAGUUCUGACCCGCACGAAUGGAGUAAUCAUGUGGGCACUGUCUCGGCGAAGGACUCGGUGAAAGUGCAUUGGCGGUAAAGAUGCCGUCUGUCCAUGCCAGGACGA